AUGGACAACCGUAGAGCACUUUGUCCGUUUGGCCAGAUUUUACCCCGUACGGACCAAACCAGAUCGGUCGCGCGCUGGAGUUGCCCGAACCUCUAUAGCCGCCUUCCCGAGCUCCUCAUCACUUCCACGCCCUCGACGCCACCUCCUCCCAACCAUUGGCACCUCCUAGCAGAGAUCUGCGUGAUGGGGUUGCUGGGGAGCGCGCGCCGUCCAGAGAGACAAGGCAGCUCCCAAGCACAGGAUCCAGCAGCGCUGGCUUCUCCUCUCCUGCGCCGCCGUUGUCCACCCAUCCUCAUCCCGUGCAAGCAUGAGCUUCUCCGGCAUCGACGGUGGCCUGCAGUCAAAGGACGACUGCGGCGGCGCUCGAUUCGAUCUACAGGAGAGAGAGAAGAUAUGAGGGAGAGAGAGAAGGAAGGAGAGGAAGGAUAA
Molecule: ribosomal RNA, 429 nt
Filed under: Triticum aestivum (bread wheat)
Lineage: Eukaryota; Viridiplantae; Streptophyta; Magnoliopsida; Poales; Poaceae
Description: partial small subunit ribosomal RNA
Source: RNAcentral